AUUGAACGCUGGCGGCAGGCCUAACACAUGCAAGUCGAGCGAGCGGCGGACGGGUGCGUAAUGUCUGGGAAACUGCCUGAUGGAGGGGGAUAACAACUGGAAACGGUAGCUAAUACCACAUACCAUCAGAUGUGUCCAGAUGGGAUUAGCUAGUAGGGUGGUGAACGGCUCACCCAGGCGACGAUCCCUAGCUGGGCUGAGAGGAUGACCAGCCACACUGGAACUGAGACAAGGUCCAGACUCCUACGGGAGGCAGCAGUGGGGAAUAUUGCACAAUGGGCGCAAGCCUGAUGCAGCCAUGCCGCGUGUGUGAAGAAGGCCUUCGGGUUGUAAAGCACUUUCAGCGGGGAGGCGUUACCCGCAGAAGAAGCACCGGCUAACUCCGUGCCAGCCGCCGCGGUAAUUC
RNAcentral lists this ribosomal RNA (406 nucleotides) under uncultured bacterium. Its description in RNAcentral is "partial 16S ribosomal RNA". It matches the Rfam family "Bacterial small subunit ribosomal RNA", at positions 30 to 526 of the family's 1533-position model. The record is from RNAcentral.